GCCUGCAUGAAGUCGGAAUUGCUAGUAAUCGCAGAUCAGCAUGCUGCGGUGAAUACGUUCCCGGGCCUUGUACACACCGCCCGUCACACCAUGGGAGUCGGUAACACCCGAAGCCUGUAGUCUAACCGCAAGGAGGACGCAGUCGAAGGUGGGAUUGAUGACUGGGGUGAAGUCGUAACAAGGUACC
RNAcentral lists this ribosomal RNA (187 nucleotides) under uncultured bacterium. Its description in RNAcentral is "partial 16S ribosomal RNA". It matches the Rfam family "Bacterial small subunit ribosomal RNA", at positions 1314 to 1500 of the family's 1533-position model. The record is from RNAcentral.